AGAGUUUGAUCCUGGCUCAGGACGAACGCUGGCGGCGUGCCUAACACAUGCAAGUCGUGCGAGAACGUCUUCUUCGGAAGGCUAGUAAAGCGGCGAACGGGUGAGUAACACGUGAGCGAUCUACCCGGAGGCGGGGGAUAGCCCAGGGAAACCUGGAUUAAUACCGCGUACAGCGUUGGGCUUGGAUACCCAACGUGAAAGCUGGCCUCUUCUAUGCUAGCGCCACCGGAUGAGCUCGCGGCCUAUCAGCUAGUUGGUGGGGUAAUGGCCUACCAAGGCAAUGACGGGUAGCUGACGUGAGAGCGUGAUCAGCCACAUUGGGACUGAGACACGGCCCAGACUCCUACGGGAGGCAGCAGUGGGGAAUAUUGCGCAAUGAGCGAAAGCUUGACGCAGCGACGCCGCGUGGGGGAGGAAGGCCUUAGGGUCGUAAACCCCUGUCAGAUGGGACGAACCGUAGAUCGGCUAAUAUCUGAUCUGCCUGACGGUACCAUCAGAGGAAGCUCCGGCUAACUCCGUGCCAGCAGCCGCGGUAAUACGGAGGGAGCAAGCGUUGUUCGGAAUUACUGGGCGUAAAGGGCGCGUAGGCGGCCUAAUAAGUCCAGUGUGAAAUGCCGGGGCUCAACUCCGCGCACUGCAUUCAAUACUGCCCUGGCUGGAAAAAGGUAGAGGCCAACGCAAUUCCCCGUGUACCGGUGG
Molecule: ribosomal RNA, 699 nt
Filed under: uncultured bacterium
Lineage: Bacteria
Description: bacterial SSU rRNA
Rfam family: Bacterial small subunit ribosomal RNA
Source: RNAcentral